GACAGACCAAAAUCUCACAUACCCAGGGAUACCAGUUUUGUCUGAAGCUUCGAUUUGUGGUGGCAAGGCACACCGUUUUGCUGUUGUGAGAAAUGACACCAUGGGAAGACAUCCUGACAUUCUUCCCCACACAAAACUGAGGUGGCAGAAUGCAGUUGGGACAGCAAUGUGAGCAUCCGUCUUAUGUCAGCUCGGGGAUCUUGAGUGGAAGGAUGUUGGUGUCAGGCAGCAUUUGUGAUGCCUGCUACUGGUCCUCUUGGCUGCCUUAAAGGACUACUCACCCAUGAAUAGGCUUCAGGAUGCAUCAGACUUGCGAAAUACACAGGAAGAAGGUGAUCUCCCA
This is a non-coding RNA of Podarcis muralis (Common wall lizard), 343 nucleotides long. The record is from RefSeq and is a predicted model, not a curated record. Lineage: Eukaryota; Metazoa; Chordata; Lepidosauria; Squamata; Lacertidae.